This 236-nucleotide ribosomal RNA is filed under the name uncultured bacterium. Its description in RNAcentral is "partial 16S ribosomal RNA". It matches the Rfam family "Bacterial small subunit ribosomal RNA", at positions 29 to 268 of the family's 1533-position model. The record is from RNAcentral.
AUUAACGCUGGCGGCGUGCAUGAGACAUGCAAGUCGAACGGACGGGCGAGCUUGCUCGCCCGUUAGUGGCGGACGGCUGAGUAACGCGUGGGUGACCUGCCCCGAAGUGGGGAAUAACUGCCCGAAAGGGUGGCUAAUACCGCAUGUGGUGACUGGUUCGUUCCAGUCUCCAAAGCCGCAAGGCGCUUCGGGAGGGGCCUGCGUCCGAUUAGCUCGUUGGUGGGGUAACGGCUCAC